Molecule: ribosomal RNA, 486 nt
Filed under: uncultured bacterium
Lineage: Bacteria
Description: bacterial SSU rRNA
Rfam family: Bacterial small subunit ribosomal RNA
Source: RNAcentral
GAUGAACGCUAGCGGGAGGCUUAACACAUGCAAGUCGAGGGGCAGCAUAGGGUAGCAAUACUCUGAUGGCGACCGGCAAACGGGUGAGUAACGCGUAUGCAACCUACCCUGUACAGGGGGAUAACCCGGAGAAAUUCGGACUAAUAUCCCGUAAUAAUAUCCGGAGGCAUCUUUGGAUAUUUAAAGUUUCGACGGUACGGGAUGGGCAUGCGUAACAUUAGCUGGUUGGUAAGGUAACGGCUUACCAAGGCUAUGAUGUUUAGGGGUCCUGAGAGGGUGGUCCCCCACACUGGUACUGAGACACGGACCAGACUCCUACGGGAGGCAGCAGUGAGGAAUAUUGGUCAAUGGGCGCAAGCCUGAACCAGCCAUCCCGCGUGCAGGAAGACGGCCCUAUGGGUUGUAAACUGCUUUCCAGGGAGAGAAACUUACGCACGUGUUGCGUGACUGACGGUACCCUGGGAAUAAGCAUCGGCUAACUCCGUG